CAGCCGCCGCGGUAAUACGUAGGUCCCGAGCGUUGUCCGGAUUUAUUGGGCGUAAAGCGAGCGCAGGCGGUUAGAUAAGUCUGAAGUUAAAGGCCGUGGCUUAACCAUAGUACGCUUUGGAAACUGUUAAACUUGAGUGCAAGAGGGGAGAGUGGAAUUCCAUGUGUAGCGGUGAAAUGCGUAGAUAUAUGGAGGAACACCGGUGGCGAAAGCGGCUCUCUGGUCUGUCACUGACGCUGAGGCUCGAAAGCGUGGGUAGCGAACAGGAUUAGAUACCCCUGUAGUCCCUGUCUCUUAUACC
This 301-nucleotide ribosomal RNA is filed under the name uncultured bacterium. RNAcentral describes it as "partial 16S ribosomal RNA". It matches the Rfam family "Bacterial small subunit ribosomal RNA", at positions 509 to 808 of the family's 1533-position model. The record is from RNAcentral.